UAGUUAUCAAGAAAGGUGGAGGGAAUAGACCCUUUGAAACCUUAGCAACCCUUUGCAUAUGCAAAGAAGGUGCUACAUUCUACCCAAUCAAUUUUAAGAUUGUGGAGAGAUAACGA
Molecule: non-coding RNA, 116 nt
Filed under: Tenacibaculum holothuriorum
Lineage: Bacteria; Pseudomonadati; Bacteroidota; Flavobacteriia; Flavobacteriales; Flavobacteriaceae
Description: SAM-I sequence
Rfam family: SAM riboswitch aptamer (S box leader)
About the family: The SAM riboswitch is found upstream of a number of genes which code for proteins involved in methionine or cysteine biosynthesis in Gram-positive bacteria.
Source: Rfam by way of RNAcentral